Molecule: ribosomal RNA, 421 nt
Filed under: Fusobacteriota bacterium
Lineage: Bacteria; Fusobacteriati; Fusobacteriota
Description: Fusobacteria bacterium partial 16S ribosomal RNA
Rfam family: Bacterial small subunit ribosomal RNA
Source: RNAcentral
UGGGGAAUAUUGCACAAUGGACGGAAGUUUGAUGCAGCGACGCCGCGUGGAGGGUGUAGGCCUUCGGGUUGUGAACUCCUUUUUCUCGCGAAUAAGGCACAGUUUUUGCUGCGUGGAUGGUAGUGGGGGAAGAAGCGCCGGCUAACUACGUGCCAGCAGCCGCGGUAAUACGUAGGGUGCGAACGUUGUCCGGAUUUAUUGGGCGUAAAGAGCUCGAAGGUGGUUCGUCGCGUCUGUCGUCAAAGCCAGCAGCUUAACUGUUCGUCUGCGGUAGGUACGGCCGGGCUUGAGUGCGGUAGGGGUGACUGGAAUUCCUGGUGUAGCGGUAGAAUGCGCAGAUAUCAAGACGAACACCGAUGUCUAAGGCAGGUCACGGAGCCGUUACUGACACUGAGGAGCGAAAGCGUGGGGAGCGAACAGG